This 465-nucleotide ribosomal RNA is filed under the name uncultured bacterium. RNAcentral's name for it is "bacterial SSU rRNA". It matches the Rfam family "Bacterial small subunit ribosomal RNA", at positions 926 to 1391 of the family's 1533-position model. The record is from RNAcentral.
CAAGCGGUGGAGCAUGUGGUUUAAUUCGAUGCAACGCGAAGAACCUUACCUACUCUUGACAUCCAGCGAACUUAGCAGAGAUGCUUUGGUGCCUUCGGGAACGCUGAGACAGGUGCUGCAUGGCUGUCGUCAGCUCGUGUUGUGAAAUGUUGGGUUAAGUCCCGCAACGAGCGCAACCCUUAUCCUUUGUUGCCAGCGAUACGGUCGGGGACUCAAAGGAGACUGCCGGUGAUAAACCGGAGGAAGGUGGGGAUGACGUCAAGUCAUCAUGGCCCUUACGAGUAGGGCUACACACGUGCUACAAUGGCGCAUACAAAGAGAAGCGACCUCGCGAGAGCAAGCGGACCUCAGAAAGUGCGUCGUAGUCCGGAUCGGAGUCUGCAACUCGACUCCGUGAAGUCGGAAUCGCUAGUAGUCGUGGAUCAGAAUGCCACGGUGAAUACGUUCCCGGGCCUUGUACACACC